Molecule: long non-coding RNA, 936 nt
Filed under: Lonchura striata (white-rumped munia)
Lineage: Eukaryota; Metazoa; Chordata; Aves; Passeriformes; Estrildidae
Description: domestica (Bengalese finch) lncRNA (ENSLSDG00000018133.1)
Rfam family: SOX2 overlapping transcript exon 3 (bases 559-831)
Source: RNAcentral
UCCUUGUAAUCAAAUUUGAGCAAAAUCAAAUGGGGCUUUCUAUGAAAGUACCUUUUGUUGAUCUGAACGAGCUGGUAAUUUACAAAAUACCCUUCCUUUGUGAGGAAGGCUAAAGAAAAAAAGAAUCAGUAGCUUUUAAAGCUGGGCCUUGGUGGGACUCUAAAUGCAGUGAAAGCAGUCUGUGUUGAGAGAUUGAAAUGCAUUUCAAAGCCAGGCCUGAGUCAGGGUACAGGGAAGAAAAAACCUAUGUGCAUUUUAUAAGAAGAAAAACCUGAAUGGGAAGGGGAAAAGAGAGAGAGGAAAAAAUCUGGAUAAUACAUUAAUCAUUAUUUUGGAAAUUGUCUUCCUUACUGACACAUACUGCGUAACUAGUGAUUGAGAACUUGGAUUUUUGUUCUAUUAUAGGCAUCUCAACAUUUGUCUGUGCUGCUUUAAAGUUUGAGAGGCAAGGAUCCUUGAACACUGCUGGACUAUGUUUUAAAUGUAUUUCCUAGGGGUAAUUAUUUCCCACUGACUCAGACCACAGGACAGUGUGAGCACGUAACAAAUAGGACUGCAGUUAAGAGCUAGGGCUAGGACUUGGAGGAUGUGUAGGCAAACGGAAAGAGAGCCGGGGGAAGAAAAACCGAAAUGGAUUCAUUCUCUGUCCUGGAUGGAGGAGGAGAGGAGAAGAGAAGAGAAGGGGACGUGCGAUCUUCCUUCAACUGCCUCUGUCCGGUGAAAAGUGCUCAGACCCCCGGGGCUGCGCCGGACUCGGGAGUCCGCGCGGACUUUCGCGUUGAGCUGCCAAUCAAACCGCUCACAGCCACCACCCUGCUCUGGCACCGACACGGUCUGUGUGAUCUCCUCCCACGAGAGGCGACUCAGCAGCUCGGUCCCCUCUGCCAUCCCAGCACUGCCAGGGGAGAAGCCCAGGAGGAGCAGAGCAGUGGCUGA